Molecule: ribosomal RNA, 429 nt
Filed under: Pseudomonadota bacterium
Lineage: Bacteria; Pseudomonadati; Pseudomonadota
Description: Proteobacteria bacterium partial 16S ribosomal RNA
Rfam family: Bacterial small subunit ribosomal RNA
Source: RNAcentral
UGGGGAAUAUUGGACAAUGGGCGAAAGCCUGAUCCAGCCAUGCCGCGUGUGUGAAGAAGGUCUUCGGAUUGUAAAGCACUUUAAGUUGGGAGGAAGGGCAGUAAGCGAAUACCUUGCUGUUUUGACGUUACCGACAGAAUAAGCACCGGCUAACUCUGUGCCAGCAGCCGCGGUAAUACAGAGGGUGCAAGCGUUAAUCGGAAUUACUGGGCGUAAAGCGCGCGUAGGUGGUUCGUUAAGUUGAAUGUGAAAGCCCCGGGCUCAACCUGGGAACUGCAUCCAAAACUGGCGAGCUAGAGUAGGGCAGAGGGUGGUGGAAUUUCCUGUGUAGCGGUGAAAUGCGUAGAUAUAGGAAGGAACACCAGUGGCGAAGGCGACCACCUGGGCUCAUACUGACACUGAGGUGCGAAAGCGCGGGGAGCAAACAGG